Long non-coding RNA from Gallus gallus (chicken), 501 nucleotides. RefSeq lists it as uncharacterized. The transcript has 3 exons. NCBI's taxonomy places the organism in Eukaryota, Metazoa, Chordata, Aves, Galliformes, Phasianidae. The record is from RefSeq and is a predicted model, not a curated record.
GGGGCUGAGUAGCAGAAAAGGACAGGAAGCAGUUGCCCAAUGGAGAAACAAAGCUUGUUUAGAUUGCUUAGCUUUUAUGGCAUUUGCUGACAAAACAGACGUGCAGCUGACUGUGCUCUUGAGAGAUGGGGCGGAAUGGAGAAAAGUAACAGCAGAAAUGUUAGGAAUGGAAGUUAAAGGUUGAGAAUUCAAGAGGACUGCAGAUUCACAGUUCCAGGUUUUCGCUUGUAAUGGCCUACAGCACUACUGCAGGCUUCCUGAUGGAGAAACAAAUUUGUGCCAGCUUGCUGAAUAACCUCCGUAAUGUUCAGCCGAUCAGAACUUCUCCAUCUGUGUGUCCAUCCAUCCAAAGAACCAGAUGCUCUGAAAAACACUUCAUCCACCCCUCCUGAUGCAUCCAUAUCUGAAAUAUGUUGCUACCAUAACUGCAGUUUUCAGCCCUACAAGCAAAGCCAGCUACUGACCUAUCUGGAGCUCUCAAUUGUUUAGUCACCUGCUCAG